This 62-nucleotide transfer RNA is filed under the name Marseillevirus LCMAC202. RNAcentral describes it as "tRNA-Lys". It matches the Rfam family "tRNA", at positions 8 to 63 of the family's 71-position model. Rfam says of the family: Transfer RNA (tRNA) molecules are approximately 80 nucleotides in length. Their secondary structure includes four short double-helical elements and three loops (D, anti-codon, and T loops). Further hydrogen bonds mediate the characteristic L-shaped molecular structure. tRNAs have two regions of fundamental functional importance: the anti-codon, which is responsible for specific mRNA codon recognition, and the 3' end, to which the tRNAs corresponding amino acid is attached (by aminoacyl-tRNA synthetases). tRNAs cope with the degeneracy of the genetic code in two manners: having more than one tRNA (with a specific anti-codon) for a particular amino acid; and 'wobble' base-pairing, i.e. permitting non-standard base-pairing at the 3rd anti-codon position. The record is from RNAcentral. Lineage: Varidnaviria; Bamfordvirae; Nucleocytoviricota; Megaviricetes; Pimascovirales; Marseilleviridae.
GUAGCUCAACGGCAGAGCACCGGACUUUUAAUCCGGUGGUUGUGGGUUCAAGUCCCACGUCA